Long non-coding RNA from Frankliniella occidentalis (western flower thrips), 386 nucleotides. RefSeq lists it as uncharacterized. The record is from RefSeq and is a predicted model, not a curated record. NCBI's taxonomy places the organism in Eukaryota, Metazoa, Arthropoda, Insecta, Thysanoptera, Thripidae. The transcript is spliced from 3 exons.
CCAGGGUGUACACGUCCCUUUCUGUUACAGAAAAGCUGACCCGCGGUGAGGUGCUGGCGCCGCGCAGCUACUCGCCCGCCCCCGACCCCCCCGUCGUGCGCGCCGAGUCCGUGGCGCUGCGGGGCCCGCGCGUGGACUGCGUCGUGUCCGAGUGGAGCGAGUGGUCCGAGUGCUCGGCCAGCUGCGGGCCGGGCCACCGCGAGCGCACCAGGAGGGUGCAGGUCGAGCCGAUUAGAGGAGGACGCCCGUGCCCUCCCCGACUGCGACAAAGAAGGAAGUGCUACGGUGGACCGUGCGAUCCAUUCCAGGCUGUCGAAGCUGAAGAAAAUCUAUAAGGUUGAAAUUCUUUGUAACUGCUCUGAGAGGAGGACAUAAUAUAUGUUAAU